AUCCUUUUGUAGUUCAUAAGCGUGAUGACUGAGUGUUCAUGUGCGUGUGUGAGAUGUGCCUCCCUCAAGCCUUGUUAUGACGUGGGCACAUUAUCCACCUGAUG
RNAcentral lists this small nucleolar RNA (104 nucleotides) under Propithecus coquereli (Coquerel's sifaka). RNAcentral describes it as "Small nucleolar RNA U13 (ENSPCOG00000011343.1)". It matches the Rfam family "Small nucleolar RNA U13". Lineage: Eukaryota; Metazoa; Chordata; Mammalia; Primates; Indriidae. The record is from Rfam by way of RNAcentral.